Non-coding RNA from Cinara cedri, 949 nucleotides. The record is from the annotation of a GenBank genome assembly. Lineage: Eukaryota; Metazoa; Arthropoda; Insecta; Hemiptera; Aphididae.
UAUUCGUUCAACGAGCUACGAGAACUAUGUUAUGUAUAUGUAUAUGGCGCGACCCGCCAUAAGUAUUCAGUCAUCACGAAGUUCAUUUAACCAAUUAAGUAACUACGUACCUAAAUAACUAAAAUAUGUAUAUUAUUAUUUUUAAUUUAUUUUGUUUUUCAGUUUUAACAUCCAAAAUUAACCGGCAAUGCCAACAAUAUAUUAUUGACUGUACAGAUGUUUUGAUCAAAUGGCCCGGCAUUAAUGGCUAAUAUUAUGAACAACUUGAAUGUAACUACGGAGACAAUUAAUUAUUUAAAUGUUACUAAAAAUUAAAAAAAUUUCAUAUGUUGUACAGAACGUGUACAUUUUCGGAUCUUAGACUUCAUGUUUUACACACUUGAUAAAACAAACGUUAUCGGUUAAGUCCCAUCCGUGCAUAAAUAUAACUAUGUUAUAACUGGUGAGUAUUAAAUUAAUAAAUUGUUUGGGUUUUUUUUUCAUCUUUACCUUCUUGACUUGAUUUAGUUACAUUAACCAGUUAGGUUUUAUGAUUUAAAAGUUUUAAUUGGAAUUCAAAUGGAAUUGGAAUUUAAUGCGAUUUUUAAUAAAACAAUCUUAAAGAAUGAUUAUUUUUUUGUUUAGAACAUGAAACACAUGACCAAUAAACUGAAAUGUGUCCCAGUCAAUUUAAUUAACCAAGUUCUUGCAUACUGAGAUUAAGUGCAACAUCACUGCUGAAAACCAAUGGAAGUCAUACAUAGAUAGUAGAGUGUUUUACAUCAAAGGUGGUAAAUGAUUUGUCCAUACAUUUGGAUUACCUAAUUAUAAUUAUAAAUAAUAUUCAUGUUGAUUUAUUAAAUUCUUUAAAUUUUUCAAAUAGAAUUUUGAUUUAUUCCUAAUUAAGAAUUAAUUAUAAUUAAUAAAAUUAACAAUAUUAUAUGUUUACUGAGUAAAAAAUUAUAUUUAU